GUGGAUGUAGCUCAGUUGGUAGAGCCCCGGAUUGUGAUUCCGGUUGUCGUGGGUUCGAAUCCCAUCAUUCACCCCA
This 76-nucleotide transfer RNA is filed under the name Acinetobacter sp. RNAcentral describes it as "tRNA-His". It matches the Rfam family "tRNA". Rfam says of the family: Transfer RNA (tRNA) molecules are approximately 80 nucleotides in length. Their secondary structure includes four short double-helical elements and three loops (D, anti-codon, and T loops). The record is from RNAcentral. RNAcentral also lists the same sequence under 54 other names. Lineage: Bacteria; Pseudomonadati; Pseudomonadota; Gammaproteobacteria; Moraxellales; Moraxellaceae.